Pseudopipra pipra is the source of this 465-nucleotide long non-coding RNA. RefSeq lists it as uncharacterized. The record is from RefSeq and is a predicted model, not a curated record. The transcript has 3 exons. NCBI's taxonomy places the organism in Eukaryota, Metazoa, Chordata, Aves, Passeriformes, Pipridae.
AAAAGCUCAUGCAGUUCCGCCCCUACCACGAGCAGGGACACCUUCCACUAAAUCAGGUUGCUCCAAGCCCCAUCCAACCUGGCCUUGAACAUUUCUAGGGAUGGGAUGGGGAAGCACAGCUGGUUUGUAACUUACAGGAAGACCUGUGUGGGCCCAAGAGCUAGAACAGAGACAGCUACACCACUGCAAAAGCAUCUUAUGUCAAGCCCUUCCUAGGCAUGGGCAGGACCCCAGCAGCUUGCCAACAACGCACUUCAAAGCCGCACACCAGCUCUGGAUGAAACACCACCACCGCAGCAUGCCGGGGACUUUCCUCUUCCAAGCCGGCUUGAUGGAUGGGCAGCAGUGGAGACAGAAAUCUUCCUGUUAUACUCACAGGGCAGGUACUGAAUCAGCAACCAUGGUGGCUACACAAGCUGCACCUCUCUGAACAAGCCUGAGACAAAAAAGAAGUGUUUCAGUGUA